GGUUCUGUAGUGUAGUGGUAAUCUUAUCUGUUUUACAUGUAGAAGGUCCUGGGUUCGAACCAAAUGCAACUU
Non-coding RNA from Pangasianodon gigas (Mekong giant catfish), 72 nucleotides. NCBI's taxonomy places the organism in Eukaryota, Metazoa, Chordata, Actinopteri, Siluriformes, Pangasiidae. The record is from the annotation of a GenBank genome assembly.